GUGCCAGCAGCCGCGGUAAUACGGAGGGUGCAAGCGUUGUUCGGAAUUACUGGGCGUAAAGCGCGUGUAGGUGGUCGAGUAAGUCGAAUGUGAAAGCCCCGGGCUCAACCCGGGAAGUGCAUCCGAAACUGCUCGACUAGAGUCCCGGAGAGGAAGGCAGAAUUCCCAAUGUAGGGGUGAAAUCCGUAGAUAUUGGGAGGAAUACCGGUGGCGAAGGCGGCCUUCUGGACGGUGACUGACACUCAGACGCGAAAGCGUGGGGAGCAAACAGGAUUAGAAACCCUCGUAGUCC
RNAcentral lists this ribosomal RNA (292 nucleotides) under uncultured bacterium. RNAcentral describes it as "partial 16S ribosomal RNA". It matches the Rfam family "Bacterial small subunit ribosomal RNA", at positions 505 to 796 of the family's 1533-position model. The record is from RNAcentral.